CGCCGUAGAAGUAGAACAGCCUCGCAAUUUCGUGCCUCGGAAAGUUUCCAUUUUAGUGGAGACUGGUACGCGGUACGGCGCUGCGCGCGCGUGCGUACGCUUUCCCGCACGGAUUCCCUCCCUUUCCGCCUCUCGCUUCGUACGAAGAGGCCUUUUGCUUUCACAGAUUCGUUCAUCGUUUCCGAGGGGAUUCAAUUCAACCGUUAUCUGCUGCGACCUCCUUGGGAAGAUGGAAAGCAUUUACUGCGCCGCUGAUCGAUCCAACCUGCAGGUUCCCAAGAAUUUCGGAUCUUGAAGAACCAAAGGAACCAGUACUCGGAGUUGUUUUGAUAACAGAUCAACCUACUGAUGAUAAGGGGAAGGCAGAGGAAAUGCACGGAUCGCUCAGAUCUGUUUACCACUUGACUCCAGCAUGCUCAGAGACCAGGUAAGUGCAGAUUUCUUGUGCAGCAGUGCAGCAUGCUGUCUCUAUGUUCUUCAAUUCUCCUACACGUGGCGUUGCUGCUUCUAGUAGUAAUUAGCUACCUCCAGACAAGGGUAGGCACUAGCUAGGUCACUGUGGAGUCACUGUUCCAUUGGAGACCUCUGUCGUCUUGUACUUAUCUUCACAUCGAAAGCGGCCGUGCGUGUACUUGUCUUGUCUCUAGAACACUUCCAGUGUGAACACGCUUGCAGCAAGCGUCAGCCGAUCAGUUGGUUUAGGAGAGAUCUACAAACUACAACUCCUGCUGUUUUACUUCUUGAUUAAUCAGAAUGAAAGCAAAAAAACGUUAGGAGUUAGAUUGCAUUUGAGAGAUAAAAUGAUACUCUCUUAUUUUAAUUUUCUCAGAUGUAGUAGUCCAUCCAGAAAUGUUGGUUGUUUUGGUCUUCGAUCUUGAAUGCAAAUGCCAAUCUACAAUGUAGUAUGAUCAACAUGUUAUCCGAAACAGAAAGAUGCACCAUGUAGAGAAGGUCAUGUCACAGUCUAAUGACGUUAUUUUCACA
This is a long non-coding RNA of Lolium rigidum, 984 nucleotides long. RefSeq lists it as uncharacterized. NCBI's taxonomy places the organism in Eukaryota, Viridiplantae, Streptophyta, Magnoliopsida, Poales, Poaceae. The transcript is spliced from 2 exons. The record is from RefSeq and is a predicted model, not a curated record.